Molecule: ribosomal RNA, 253 nt
Filed under: uncultured bacterium
Lineage: Bacteria
Description: partial 16S ribosomal RNA
Rfam family: Bacterial small subunit ribosomal RNA
Source: RNAcentral
UACGUAGGGUGCGAGCGUUGUCCGGAAUUAUUGGGCGUAAAGAGCUUGUAGGCGGUCUGUCGCGUCUGCUGUGAAAAUCCGGGGCUCAACCCCGGACUUGCAGUGGGUACGGGCAGACUAGAGUGUGGUAGGGGAGACUGGAAUUCCUGGUGUAGCGGUGAAAUGCGUAGAGAUCGGGAGGAACACCUAUGGCGAAGGCAGCUCUCUGGGACGGUACUGACGCUGAGACGCGAAAGCGUGGGGAGCGAACAGG